GACACUGGAAAGACACGUUGGCUGCGUGGUGACCACAGAGGACAGGGUGAGGACGGUGGCAAUGGCAGCCACACAGCAGAGCACCUGGGCUGGAGAAGGACCCGAGACGUGCAGAUGGGAGUUGUGGCAGUAGUGGCCAUCUUGAGGGACAGACACCGGGAGAAAACGAGUGAUGCGUGCAAGGAGGGGCAUCGCUGAGCCCACACAAGACUCAAGAUGGAUGAGACAGAGGCGGCCUCAGGUGCCUGCAGGUGGAGAGAGAAGCACUGGGAAGCCUGAAGGAGCAUGAGAAAGACUGUUGCUGUAAGACACGGCGCUAUCUAUGGCCUGAAUAUUUGUUAUCUGUUGAAAUCCUAACCCCGAAGGUGAUGGUAUGAGGAGGUGAGGACUUUGGGAUGGGAUGACUGCUCUCAUAAAGGAGGCUAGAGAAAGGCUCCUGGCCCUUUCCAGCAGGCGAGGACACAGAUGCCAUCUUGAACCAGGAAGUGGCCACACCAGACACGGAAUCUGCCAGCACCUGGUUCCUGCACUUCCCAACCUCCAGAUCUGUGAGAAAUAAAUUUCUGUUGUUUACAGCCA
This is a long non-coding RNA of Homo sapiens (human), 579 nucleotides long. The record is from Ensembl. NCBI's taxonomy places the organism in Eukaryota, Metazoa, Chordata, Mammalia, Primates, Hominidae.